CUGACUUAUGGGAAGCCUCUUGAUUCAGGGAAGACUCAUGUCUCAAAGGUGGAAAGCUAGAAGUCCAAAAAGUUAAAAUUCAAAGUGGAAAAGAUCGCUGAGUUCAUCUUCUAGCUGUUUUGGAAUAUUCGGUGGAGAAGAACCUUUAUUUUGGAAGAAAGAUGAACAAACUGGAUGCAACCAAUACAGAUUUGAUUUACUUCAGGGGGACAAUGACAAAUUUGAGGACAGAAGGCUCAUGAAAUGGCAAAGUUUCUGAUUUUAAUGAAAGGAAGAAAAUGUAAAAGGAGUCCAGCUGUGCCUGCGCAGACCUUGGAUGUUCAGCAUGUCAUCUCCACAGAGGCACAGACAUGGCACCUUCCCUGCCUGGCUCCAAGACCUCAGCCUGGAUGCAUCUCCCAGCCCUCCUCUGGCCUGUAUUGCUCAGUCCCAGGCUCUGGACACUUCAAGAGGGAUUUCCUGUCCUGGGGUCAAGGACUCUCACAUCCAAAGAGACAGAGGCCUUGCUGGCAGCUCGUUGAACCAAAAUCACUCCAGAAACAAGCUGUGCUAAUACAAGAACAAAGAAAGUCUUUAUUUACAAGAUCUGAAUGUAAAAAAAUGUUCAUAAAGCAGGUGUAGAGAAAAGAAGGGAACUAUGCUUAUUUUAAAGGUGUUUUUUCAUUCUCUGUUGACAAGUUGACAGGCAGUUUAUGCGCUUAUUUUAGCACAUGGCUGUGAACUAGUACUUUUUGUCCUUUAUUUUGUAGUCGCUGAAAAAAAUCUUAGCUCUCUGUAAUUCCUUUAAAGCUUAAUUCCUACAUUUCAGUUCAUUCUCUGGAUAAAUUGACUUGCUUCAAGAAAAAAAAGUAUGAAAAACAAAGUAGAACACCCCUGGCAUGUAAAGUUUUCAGUGUUAUGUUUGCCCUUUACAUUUUUAUGAAUCAAGCAAUGUGACAACCAUGCUUUACACAAUCAAAGAGGAUUAAUGCAGAAAGUUUCACAUCAUUUUUGAGCUGAGACUAGGGAAAGAUGAAAAAAUUAUGUCAGGUGAGAAAAGGUUAGGAACCAAUAGAAUGUUCACUGAGGGCUACCUUAACUCAGUCUCUUUGGACUCCAUUAAAAAAACUAUUUUUAAAAAUUACUGUAUAUUGGCCUGCUGUAGCUGUGUCUGCCACCAUAAAGUUCUGUGAGAAGUGGAAUUUUUCAACUGAGUUAUUCACCUAAUUUUCUGGAAAGUGACUGAAUAUUCACCAAAAUCCUGGGGAAAACAGGAAUCCCCUUAAGUUCUUGUUAAUUUGCUUUUAUACACUUCUGGAUGGCAUCCAUUGGUGAUGUAGUAUUGAAUAACAGCAUAGUAAUGAUGUUUGAC
This 1351-nucleotide long non-coding RNA is filed under the name Gallus gallus (chicken). RNAcentral describes it as "lncRNA (ENSGALG00010014112.1)". The record is from RNAcentral. Lineage: Eukaryota; Metazoa; Chordata; Aves; Galliformes; Phasianidae.